Non-coding RNA from Parasteatoda tepidariorum (common house spider), 338 nucleotides. NCBI's taxonomy places the organism in Eukaryota, Metazoa, Arthropoda, Arachnida, Araneae, Theridiidae. The record is from RefSeq and is a predicted model, not a curated record.
UAUAUAUAUAUGUAAUGUUAAAACAAUUAUAUAUUAAAUAUAAUCCUUAAAUAGAGCAUUUAUCCAACGCGCAAACGUUUAAAAACCUUUCCCACAAGAAAGUAAUAAUAUUGAUCUAAUUAUCUCAAAAAAUGUGAUGAUGUGGCUUUAGCAGCUUGGGAAAUUGAUCAGUCCCACGCUACUGAGACCUAUUAACAUUUAAAUAUAUUGUCCAGAAAGAUAUAAAAACCCUCUUUCCAAGGUCAAAUGUGCUAUUCUAUACCUAUCCACCAGCAUGUAAUGUUGUCAUUCUGGGGCUCUGGCCCUUACGUUAAUAAAAUUAGAUUAUGAUUACCGUA